RNAcentral lists this transfer RNA (71 nucleotides) under Paludibacteraceae bacterium. RNAcentral's name for it is "tRNA-Trp". It matches the Rfam family "tRNA". From Rfam's summary of the family: Transfer RNA (tRNA) molecules are approximately 80 nucleotides in length. The record is from RNAcentral. Lineage: Bacteria; Pseudomonadati; Bacteroidota; Bacteroidia; Bacteroidales; Paludibacteraceae.
AGGCUGAUAAUUCAAUGGUAGAAUGACGGUCUCCAAAACCGUUUAUCAGGGUUCGAGUCCUUGUCAGCCUG